CUGUUAAAACCCAGUUCAGGAUCAGUCCUCAUAAUAUCUGUCCUGUUAAAACCCAGUUCAGGACCAGUCCUCAUAAUGUCUGUCCUGUUAAAACCCAGUUCAGUUUUACUCUACUGAGUAAAAACAUUGAGCAGGGACAUAAAAGCGUUCCCGGAAAGGAAAGUCCCUGAAUAAAUCAAUUCUCUCUCUUUCCAGAAACCAGGCCGCUUUGCCUUCUGAGAAAGUCCCCUAUCAAAGAGCAGUUACAGUCAGACAUCACCUCAUCAUUUAACAGCAGCCCAGGUUAUCAGCUCCAUCUAGAGGCCCAGGUUAUCAGCUCCAUCUAGAGACCCAGGUUAUCAGCUCCAUCUAGAGGCCCAGGUUAUCAGCUCCAUCUAGAGACCCAGGUUAUCAGCUCCAUCUAGAGACCCAGAUUAUCAGCUCCAUCUAGUGGCCCAGGUUAUCAGCUCCAUCUAGAGACCCAGGUUAUCAGCUCCAUCUAGAGACCCAGGUUAUCAGCUCCAUCUAGAGACCCAGGUUAUCAGCUCCAUCUAUUGGUCCAGGUUGUCAGCUCCAUCUAGAGGCCCAGGUUAUCAGCUCCAUCUAGUGGCCCAGGUUAUCAGCUCCAUCUAGAGACCCAGGUUAUCAGCUCCAUCUAGAGGCCCAGGUUAUCAGCUCCAUCUAGAGACCCAGGUUAUCAGCUCCAUCUAGAGACCCAGGUUAUCAGCUCCAUCUAGAGACCCAGGUUAUCAGCUCCAUCUAGAGACCCAGGUUAUCAGCUCCAUCUAGAGACCCAGGUUAUCAGCUCCAUCUAGUGGCCCAGGUUAUCAGCUCCAUCUAGUGGUCCAGGUUAUCAGCUCCAUCUAGUGGUCCAGGUUAUCAGCUCCAUCUAGAG
Molecule: long non-coding RNA, 874 nt
Filed under: Salmo salar (Atlantic salmon)
Lineage: Eukaryota; Metazoa; Chordata; Actinopteri; Salmoniformes; Salmonidae
Description: lncRNA (ENSSSAG00000104457.1)
Source: RNAcentral